AACGAACGCUGGCGGCAUGCCUAACACAUGCAAGUCGAACGAGACCUUCGGGUCUAGUGGCGCACGGGUGCGUAACGCGUGGGAACCUGCCCUUAGGUUCGGAUUAACUCCCCGAAAGGGGUGCUAAUACCGGAUAAUGUCCUCGGUACAAAGAUUUAUCGCCUUUGGAUGGGCCCGCGUUGGAUUAGCUAGUUGGUAGGGUAAAAGCCUCCCAAGGCGACGAUCCAUAGCUGGUCUGAGAGGAUGAUCAGCCACACUGGGACUGAGACACGGCCCAGACUCCUACGGGAGGCAGCAGUGGGGAAUAUUGGACAAUGGGCGAAAGCCUGAUCCAGCAAUGCCGCGUGAGUGAUGAAGGCCUUAGGGUUGUAAAGCUCUUUUACCCGGGAUGAUAAUGACAGUACCGGGAGAAUAAGCACCGGCUAACUCCGUG
RNAcentral lists this ribosomal RNA (433 nucleotides) under uncultured bacterium. RNAcentral describes it as "partial 16S ribosomal RNA". It matches the Rfam family "Bacterial small subunit ribosomal RNA", at positions 29 to 507 of the family's 1533-position model. The record is from RNAcentral.